Long non-coding RNA from Lemur catta (Ring-tailed lemur), 290 nucleotides. RefSeq lists it as uncharacterized. The record is from RefSeq and is a predicted model, not a curated record. The transcript is spliced from 3 exons. Lineage: Eukaryota; Metazoa; Chordata; Mammalia; Primates; Lemuridae.
GGGGUGAACUUGUUGCAUUAAUUAAUCAGGGGAAUAGGAAAAGUGCCCUACCUCAGAGCAACGUUGUCACUGGUCACUGCUGAGGGAUGCCUUUGAAGACAGUGGUGCCUUGGUCCAAAGGGAGGAUCAAGUCUCCAACAAGAUGAGUGAGGAGAGGACACAGACAUGGACAGAAGGAAGAUCAUGUGAAGACACACAGGGAAAAGACGGCCAUCUACAAGCCAAAGACAGAGGUUUCAGAAGAAAACGACCACCCUGCCAACACCUUGAUUUGGAACUUCUAGCCUCCA